AGUGACCUUGAUAAGGGCAUUUUGGUAAUUUACAUGAAAAAUUGGAUAAACUUUAGAUAUAAAUAUCUAAGUUCCAGCAACUUCCAGCAGCUUUUUCUUCCAUCCAUCUCUUCUGUCCAUUUCACAUUUUCUUCACCCUCCAUGGGAAGAAAACCUUGAAUCCUCCAUAAAUCUCUCAUAGAAAGUCCAUGUUUCAUGCUUUUGCCCACUCCUUCAUAGGGUUUUUCAUGCUCUUCCAUUUUUACACCUCAACAGCCUUCAAAAGUCUUUCUAUAGUACGUUCACUCACUAGCUG
Molecule: long non-coding RNA, 295 nt
Filed under: Theobroma cacao (cacao)
Lineage: Eukaryota; Viridiplantae; Streptophyta; Magnoliopsida; Malvales; Malvaceae
Description: long non-coding RNA (TCAC_LNC002623)
Source: RNAcentral